RNAcentral lists this ribosomal RNA (253 nucleotides) under uncultured bacterium. RNAcentral describes it as "partial 16S ribosomal RNA". It matches the Rfam family "Bacterial small subunit ribosomal RNA", at positions 524 to 776 of the family's 1533-position model. The record is from RNAcentral.
UACGUAGGGUGCAAGCGUUGUCCGGAAUCAUUGGGCGUAAAGCGCGUGUAGGCGGCUUGGUAAGUCUGCUCUGAGAGCCCGGGGCUCAACCCCGGGAGGCGGGUGGAUACUGUCAAGCUCGAGUCCGGAAGAGGAGUGUGGAAUUCCUGGUGUAGCGGUGAAAUGCGCAGAUAUCAGGAGGAACACCAAUGGCGAAGGCAGCACUCUGGGACGUGACUGACGCUGAGACGCGAAAGCGUGGGGAGCAAACAGG